This is a non-coding RNA of Camelina sativa (false flax), 143 nucleotides long. The record is from RefSeq and is a predicted model, not a curated record. Lineage: Eukaryota; Viridiplantae; Streptophyta; Magnoliopsida; Brassicales; Brassicaceae.
AACUUCCUCUGGCGACACCAUUCUCUGAAUUCGAAUUUGAACUACAAGGGCUGGGAUUUGAAAGGGGUUGGGGUGACACAGCACAGAAGGUUUCAGAAAUGGUGCAUCUCCUUCUGGACAUACUCCAGGCACCUGAUCCUUCC